Long non-coding RNA from Belonocnema kinseyi, 2796 nucleotides. RefSeq lists it as uncharacterized. Lineage: Eukaryota; Metazoa; Arthropoda; Insecta; Hymenoptera; Cynipidae. The record is from RefSeq and is a predicted model, not a curated record. The transcript is spliced from 3 exons.
UUUUGUUAUGUCGUGGCUUUUUGAGUUGAAAGAACAAAAGAAAAAUUCAGUUUGUAAGCUGAAAAUGGAAAAUAACAAAAAGUGCUUAGAAUAGGGUUUUGAAGUACCUGCAUUCUCAUCGUUAGAAAAAUUACAGCGCAGCGGCAUGCAUCCAAACCUUAACUCUUGGAGGUCAACUAUAUAAGUUUAAAUCUCAAAUUAUUACCUCUACAAAGAGAUCUGAGAGCGAUCAAGAGGUUCAAAAGGAGGUUGAUAAGAAGCACUUGGAUCAAAAAGUGAAAAAGAGGAGAAUUAUUAAAAAGGAUAAAGAUAAUGAUUCUAAGAAGAAAAAUAUUAAUAUCAAUGAUUUAAAGCUUCUUCGAGAUGGCAGCGUCUUGCAUUUUUUCGACCAACGUGCUGUUUGCGUCCAAAAUCUUUAGCAGCCUUCCAGUUAAGUAGACGACGAAGAUUUUCUCCAGCUCAGCUACGAUCUUAGGACCAUACCUUGUCUGGACUCUACGGACGUUCUUCACUUCAUAUGCUUGAUUCGGUAUUAACUCAGACAUCGACUUCGUGGGUAGGAAUUGCUCCAUACGACCAACGGCAUUAAUUGCUGCGAGAUCCAUUUUGCUGUUCUUGAUAUAUCGAUAGUUCUGAUCUUGUGUCGAAGUUGCUAUUGAUGCUUUCAUCAGCUUCGGAGAUACUAGAAUGAAGUGAUCGCUCCUGAGACUUUCUUUUAUAAGCCACCGCUUUACCUACCCUACCCGCUCUAAGCUAAUUAAUUGCUUAAUACGUUUAAUUUACUAAGAACUGAAUUAACUUAAAAAUUAAUUUUAAGUUUUGAAUUAAGUAAAUACUAAUCUAAAUCAGUUAAUUUAAACUUAUUUAAAGAAAAUCAAGGCUAGUUAAAAUAUAAUUUAGUCUAUAUAAAUUAUGACUAUUAGGAGAGGGAACUUUGAAUUAAAUUCUCAUAUUUUUUCAUUUAAUAAUAUUUUAUUUAGUAAGAAAAUCUGAAUCUAGUUUUACGAAAAUAGGUUACAAUUAUUAUAAAAAUCUUUUAUUGUACAAUGAUCCAAGUGAUCUUCAUUUGUGGAACAUUUCUUCCGGUUUGAUCUGGUGUAUCCAGAAUCCAAUUUCUGAGGAUGGUCACGUUUUGCACUGCACAAUUACUUGUAUAGGACGUGUGAUAACAUGAGUUUGUGGAUCCUACAUCUAUUUUUUUAAGUGAAGGGCAGUCAAGUUCAUCCAAAUCUUGGAUGUUAAUGACAAAUUUUUCAAGCCAUCUUUUGUUCUGUAGACCUUCAACAUAGAUUAGGCGUGUAUUUGUCAAUGUUUCUCGAAGUAUAGAUCUUAUUUUCUCAUAAGGGACUUCACCAGCAUUCCAGUUGAUUCCAUGGUAGUUACGUGUCAACCAGAAGUUUUCACUAUUGUAUCGUCCCGGAAGAGAACACCAACUGCAAGGCGAUUCGAAAAGGAAGACUAAAAGGUUGAACAUCUUGCUGAAGCGGAACAAUGGCCAACUCCUUGAAAACAAAGUCGUUGUAGGGUUUCUUGAAGCCUUGAACAUCCACAGCAAAGUCCAUUUUGACUAAAACUGAUUUUUACCUGCCGAAAGACGCCUUUUUAUACCCCUCGAUAUUACCCCCACUACUUCACAUAAUUUUCUUUACUUCGCCACUGAUUGGCUGGUAUUGAACAAUACGGUCAUGUAUAAUGGGGCAAUAGGCAGCAGUAUUAGCUGAAAAGUUAACGCUGGAUUCAAAUUCUAAAGGAACAUCUACUGAUGUUUGUUUUAAAAACUAAUUUUGUUUUGAAGAGUCAAUAACAAUGAUUGGAGAAUAUUGCUUGAAAAUACUCUUGCUCAUCAGAGAUUCUGCAUCUUUGUCAUAGUAUGAAGCUUGGAAAUUAGAAUACAUCUAAAACAAUAAUGCAAAUCGAUUUUGAUUGAAGUUUAAAUUCAAAUUACCAUGCGGAUAAUAUUGAGAAUUCUAAAACAGUUUAACAUUUGUAAUGUUACAAUUUUCAAAGAAACGAGCAUAUAUUUUUCGCUGAUCCUUUCCACCUGUUUGGAAUCCUAGUAUGACAUACUAUGGUUUCUCCAAUUGCGUUGAAGUCUUCAUUUGGCAUAGGUUUCUUUGAGUGGCAGGGAUUAAAGGAUAUUUAUACAUUUCCCAAGAUCGAAAGCUUAUUGGUAUAAGUGGAUCCUUCUCAAUAUACUUGAGCAGUUGUAUCUUUUGACGAUCAGCUGGUAAUAAAUAGGGAACCUUCCACUCAACUUUUUGCAGUCAGGAUCUCCCUGUGCAGGUUGAAUAAUAGCAUUAAAGUCUGUGCGAGAUCUUGUCAAGAUACGUUCAUGUUUAGCAUUCACAACUAUCUUUUGAUAAUCUCCAGCAAAUCCAAAAAUCAUGUUGAGUGGUAUUGUUACAUCGAAGUAUCCAGCUUCAUUUGUUAUUUUAGCAUUUAAAUCCAUAUCAAGCCAGCCUGCAUUCUCAGCAGAAUGAAGCUGAUUAGUAGUUUAGUUCAUAGUGAAUUUCGUCAAAUAAAAAGCAAAUGGCAUAGCCAAUUAAAUUUGUAGCUGCAGCAACUGUAGUUCCAUUAGCUUGUACCAACCUUCCAAAUGCAUGUAAUGAACUUUUACUUGGAAGAAUGCAAAAAUCUUGAUUUUAUAUCGCAAUUCGUAUUUCGCCACUAUUGUUAAACGACGAUGAAACAUAAGGUUGAUGAGUAUGAACUUCAUAGUGCGCUAUAGAUUCAUCAUAGCUAACUCGAGCUUGAAUGUUUAGUAUUUCUUCUAUCUUUGUGGCAACGACAAAUAAA